CGGCGAGUGAAGCGGCAACAGCUCAAAUUUGAAAGCCCGCGGGCGUUGUAAUUUGCAGGCGGAUGUUUUGGGGCGGGCGCUGUCUACGUUCCUUGGAACAGGACGCCGCAGAGGGUGAGAGCCCCGUGCGAUGGCGCCUCCAACCGCGUAAAACUCCGCCGACGAGUCGAGUUGUUUGGGAAUGCAGCUCCAAGUGGGUGGUAAAUUCCAUCUAAAGCUAAAUACUGGCGAGAGACCGAUAGCGAACAAGUACAGUGAUGGAAAGAUGAAAAGCACUUUGAAAAGAGAGUGAAACAGCACGUGAAAUUGUUGAAAGGGAAGGGUAUGCGAUUAGCGGCCAGCAGGAGGUGCCUUCUCGUGAAAAGGCCGUGCACCGUCUUCGGACACCGUGCGCGGAGAUGGCGAGGGGGCGCCUGAGGUCUGCGACUCGAGGUUGCUGGCGUAAUGAUUGCAUACCACCCGUCUUGAACCACGGAC
Molecule: ribosomal RNA, 477 nt
Filed under: Diutina rugosa
Lineage: Eukaryota; Fungi; Ascomycota; Pichiomycetes; Serinales; Debaryomycetaceae
Description: partial large subunit ribosomal RNA
Rfam family: Eukaryotic large subunit ribosomal RNA
Source: RNAcentral